CACGUAGGGUGCGAGCGUUGUCCGGAAUUAUUGGGCGUAAAGAGCUCGUAGGCGGUGUGUCGCGUCGGCCGUGAAAACCUGCAGCUUAACUGUGGGCUUGCGGUCGAUACGGGCAUCACUGGAGUUCGGCAGGGGAGACUGGAAUUCCUGGUGUAGCGGUGAAAUGCGUAGAUAUCGGGAGGAACACCAGUGGCGAAGGCGGCUGCCUGGGCCAGUUCUGACGCUGAGGCGCGAAAGCGUGGGGAGCAAACAGG
This 254-nucleotide ribosomal RNA is filed under the name uncultured bacterium. RNAcentral describes it as "partial 16S ribosomal RNA". It matches the Rfam family "Bacterial small subunit ribosomal RNA", at positions 524 to 776 of the family's 1533-position model. The record is from RNAcentral.